This 25-nucleotide microRNA is filed under the name Canis lupus familiaris (dog). RNAcentral's name for it is "cfa-miR-8830". Lineage: Eukaryota; Metazoa; Chordata; Mammalia; Carnivora; Canidae. The record is from miRBase by way of RNAcentral.
UCGUCGCUGAGGCAGGACCGACUUC